GUGCUCGCUUCAGCAGCACAUAUACUAAGAUUGGAAUGAUGCAGAGAAGAUUAGCAUGGCCCCUGCACGCGUGUUCUAAUUCUCAACAAAAUACUGAGUAUU
Small nuclear RNA from Suricata suricatta (meerkat), 102 nucleotides. The record is from Ensembl. NCBI's taxonomy places the organism in Eukaryota, Metazoa, Chordata, Mammalia, Carnivora, Herpestidae.